Molecule: long non-coding RNA, 553 nt
Organism: Cynoglossus semilaevis (tongue sole)
Lineage: Eukaryota; Metazoa; Chordata; Actinopteri; Pleuronectiformes; Cynoglossidae
Exons: 3
Source: RefSeq, a predicted model, not a curated record
AAUUUUAUUCAAAUUAAAAACAAAGACGAUUGUAUUUUCUGUAAAUAUUCCCUACAUUUAUGAACAUGGUUACAGAGGUUGUGUCACUUUGGUUGAGUCAGUCUUUAAGUAAUCCUUAAACUCAAAUACCAGCAGUUAGCUGCUGUUACCAACUUUAUCCACAAGAUGGCACAAUGUCCAACACAUUCGCCUCGAGCACCGGAAGUUUCCUGAGUUAAUCGAAGUAAACGUACUACGUUCGUCUGAUUUUUGAUUAAAAACUUCUCCACUGGCAAUUCAAGUUAAAAGUCAUCCAUAAAGGAAAAGCUGAAACCUCCCGGAGCUGAGGGAUUCGAUCUUCUCCGUAUCCACACUCCUUCUCCAGCUGCUGCAGACCCUCCAGGAACUGCCGACAGGCCAGGCUGGGGUAGAUGCUCCUCAACUGACGGCCAGCUCAGAGAUCAGAGUUCGUCUCCUCCUGUAGUCUGAGUCACUGAAGCCCUAGGUUCAAACCAAACGUCACCGUCAGCAGCUGCACAGUGAUGUCACAGAUACACACUCUCUGAACAGAACC